AAUGUCACUCCAUUAGGUAAUGCUGAUGUAUUUCAAAUUGAUUGGUUGACAUCAAAUAACACCUUGGGUCUAGGUGAUGAGGUCAGGAGGGCGAUUUAAGAGGGUCCCUCCAUGCUGAUGGAAGAGACAGGU
Gavialis gangeticus (Gharial) is the source of this 132-nucleotide long non-coding RNA. RefSeq lists it as uncharacterized. The record is from RefSeq and is a predicted model, not a curated record. The transcript has 4 exons. NCBI's taxonomy places the organism in Eukaryota, Metazoa, Chordata, Crocodylia, Gavialidae.